UCGGGAAUUUUGGGCAAUGGGCGAAAGCCUGACCCAGCAACGCCGCGUGAAGGAUGAAGUAUUUCGGUAUGUAAACUUCGAAAGAAUAGGAAGAAUAAAUGACGGUACUAUUUAUAAGCUCCGGCUAACUACGUGCCAGCAGCCGCGGUAAUACGUAGGGAGCAAGCGUUGUUCGGAUUUACUGGGCGUAAAGGGCGCGUAGGCGGCGCGGUAAGUCACUUGUGAAAUCUCUGAGCUUAACUCAGAACGGCCAAGUGAUACUGCUGUGCUAGAGUGCGGAAGAGGCAACCGGAAUUCUUGGUGUAGCGGUGAAAUGCGUAGAUAUCAAGAGGAACACCUGAGGCGAAGGCGGGUUGCUGGGCCGACACUGACGCUGAUGCGCGAAAGCCAGGGGAGCAAACG
Molecule: ribosomal RNA, 402 nt
Filed under: uncultured bacterium
Lineage: Bacteria
Description: bacterial SSU rRNA
Rfam family: Bacterial small subunit ribosomal RNA
Source: RNAcentral